This 403-nucleotide ribosomal RNA is filed under the name uncultured bacterium. RNAcentral describes it as "partial 16S ribosomal RNA". It matches the Rfam family "Bacterial small subunit ribosomal RNA", at positions 30 to 526 of the family's 1533-position model. The record is from RNAcentral.
AUUGAACGCUGGCGGCAGGCCUAACACAUGCAAGUCGAGCGAGCGGCGGACGGGUGAGUAAUGUAUGGGGACUGCCCGAUAGAGGGGGAUAACUACUGGACACGGUGGCUAAUACCGCAUACUAUCGGAUAACCCAUAUGGGAUUAGCUAGUAGGUGGGGUAAAGGCUCACCAGGGGGACGAUCUCUAGCUGGUCGGAGAGGAUGAUCAGCCACACGGUGACUGAGACCCGGUCCAGACUCCGACGGAGGCAUCAGUGGGGAAUAUUGCACAAUGGACGCAAGCCUGAUGCAGCCAUGCCGCGUGUAUGAAGAAGGCCUUAGGGUUGUAAAGUACUUUCAGCGGGGAGGCGUUACCCGCAGAAGAAGCACCGGCUAACUCCGUGCCAGCAGCCGCGGUAAUUC